CCUACGGGAGGCAGCAGUGGGGAAUAUUGGGCAAUGGGCACAAGCCUGACCCAGCAACGCCGCGUGAAGGAAGAAGGCUUUCGGGUUGUAAACUUCUUUUCUCAGGGACGAAGCAAGUGACGGUAACUGAGGAAUAAGCCACGGCUAACUACGUGCCAGCAGCCGCGGUAAUCCGUAGGUGGCAAGCGUUAUCCGGAUUUACUGGGUGGAAAGGGCGUGUAGGCGGGAAAGCAAGUCAGAUGUGAAAACCAUGGGCUCAACCUGUGGCCUGCAUUUGAAACUGUUUUUCUUGAGUACAGGAGAGGCAGACGGAAUUCCUAGUGUAGCGGUGAAAUGCGUAGAUAUUAGGAGGAACACCAGUGGCGAAGGCGGUCUGCUGGACAGCAACUGACGCUGAGGCGCGAAAGCGUGGGGAGCAAACAGGAUUAGAUACCCUAGUAGUC
Molecule: ribosomal RNA, 443 nt
Filed under: uncultured bacterium
Lineage: Bacteria
Description: partial 16S ribosomal RNA
Rfam family: Bacterial small subunit ribosomal RNA
Source: RNAcentral